UACAAGUGGAUAAACUUUGUCAAUACAAAUUUGGGAUAGAUUGCAGUAUUGAUGAGUUUAAACUUUCAAUCAGCAAUUUGAGACCAGCUGUGGACAGCUCAAAUAAAUGUUUCUAACCCUCUGAAAAAUAUAAACAAAACAAAGGUCACUUAUGCAAGUGUGACAAGCAAAACAUACAAAUAAACUUUGAAAUUAUAAUUCAAACUCAGUAAGGAUACACCUCAAGCUCAAAAUUGAAGGUUCUGCUAUCUGCACAUCUUACCCUCAAUCCAUCUUUGAUCAGUCAGUUCAUUGACUUUAUGAUUUAGAAGUUUCUACUUCAACCUCACAGAAAAAUCUUAAAAAUG
This 347-nucleotide unclassified non-coding RNA is filed under the name Hevea brasiliensis (rubber tree). Lineage: Eukaryota; Viridiplantae; Streptophyta; Magnoliopsida; Malpighiales; Euphorbiaceae. The record is from RNAcentral.